RNAcentral lists this ribosomal RNA (387 nucleotides) under Oligoryzomys fulvescens (fulvous pygmy rice rat). RNAcentral describes it as "partial 12S ribosomal RNA". The record is from RNAcentral. Lineage: Eukaryota; Metazoa; Chordata; Mammalia; Rodentia; Cricetidae.
CUUAGUCUUAAACUUCAAUAAUUUUCAAAAACAAAAUUAUUUGCCAGAGAACUACUAGCCACCGCUUAAAACUCAAAGGACUUGGCGGUACUUUAUAUCCACCUAGAGGAGCCUGUUCUAUAAUCGAUACACCCCGAUACACCUCACCACCCCUUGCUAAUGCAGCCUAUAUACCGCCWUCUUCAGCAAACCUKAAAAAAGAAUAAAAGUAAGCAAGAGUAUACUCAUAAAAACGUUAGGUCAAGGUGUAGCCRAUGGGGUGGGAAGAAAUGGGCUACAUUUUCUUUAUCAAGAACACUCACGAAACUCUCUAUGAAAUUACAGAAUAAAGGAGGAUUUAGUAGUAAAUUAAGAAUAGAGUGCUUAAUUGAAUGGAGCAAUGAAGUA